CAAUAGCGUAUAUUAAAGUUGUUGCAGUUAAAAAGCUCGUAGUUGGAUUUCUGAUCGAGACAUCAGGUCGGGUCCGAGAGGAUCAUGUACUUUGAUUUUGUUUUGAUCAUCCUUGGGGAGAGCAUUUCUGGCAUUCAGUUGUUGGGAUUGGGAUCCUCAUCGUUUACUGUGAAAAAAUUAGAGUGUUCAAAGCAGGCCUCGGCCUCUGAAUACAUUAGCAUGGAAUAAUAAGAUAGGACUUUGGUGGUCUAUUUUGUUGGUUUGCACGCCAAAGUAAUGAUUAAUAGGGAUAGUUGGGGGUAUUCGUAUUCAAUUGUCAGAGGUGAAAUUCUUGGAUUUAUGGAAGACGAACUACUGCGAAAGCAUUUACCAAGGAUGUUUUCAUUAA
RNAcentral lists this ribosomal RNA (388 nucleotides) under uncultured eukaryote. Its description in RNAcentral is "partial 18S ribosomal RNA". It matches the Rfam family "Eukaryotic small subunit ribosomal RNA", at positions 592 to 976 of the family's 1831-position model. The record is from RNAcentral.